RNAcentral lists this ribosomal RNA (521 nucleotides) under uncultured Glomeromycotina. Its description in RNAcentral is "SSU rRNA". It matches the Rfam family "Eukaryotic small subunit ribosomal RNA", at positions 569 to 1092 of the family's 1831-position model. Lineage: Eukaryota; Fungi; Glomeromycota. The record is from RNAcentral.
AGCAGCCGCGGUAAUUCCAGCUCCAAUAGCGUAUAUUAAAGUUGCUGCAGUUAAAAAGCUCGUAGUUGAAUUUCGGGACCAAUAUGUCGGUCGUGCUUCGGUACGUACUGGCAUCGUUGGUUUCUCCUUUCUGAAGAACCAUGAUGUCAUUUAUUUGGUGUCGUGGGGAAUCAGGACUGUUACUUUGAAAAAAUUAGAGUGUUUAAAGCAGGCUCACGCUUGAAUACAUUAGCAUGGAAUAAUGAAAUAGGACGUUUGAUUCUAUUUUGUUGGUUUCUAGGAUCGACGUAAUGAUUAAUAGGGAUAGUUGGGGGCAUUAGUAUUCAAUUGUCAGAGGUGAAAUUCUUGGAUUUAUUGAAGACUAACUACUGCGAAAGCAUUUGCCAAGGAUGUUUUCAUUAAUCAAGAACGAAAGUUAGGGGAUCGAAGACGAUCAGAUACCGUCGUAGUCUUAACCAUAAACUAUGCCGACUAGGGAUCGGAUGAUGUUAAUUUUUUAAUGACUCAUUCGGCGCCUUACG